Molecule: ribosomal RNA, 241 nt
Filed under: uncultured bacterium
Lineage: Bacteria
Description: partial 16S ribosomal RNA
Rfam family: Bacterial small subunit ribosomal RNA
Source: RNAcentral
CGACGUGAGCAAUCUGCCUUUGGAUGGGGGAUAACAGCCGGAAACGACUGCUAAUACCGCAUAAUGCAGCAGGACCACAUGAUUUUGCUGCCAAAGAUUUAUCGUCCAAAGAUGAGCUCGCGUCUGAUUAGCCAGUUGGCGGGGUAACGGCCCACCAAAGCGACGAUCAGUAGCCGGACUGAGAGGUUGAACGGCCACAUUGGGACUGAGACACGGCCCAGACUCCUACGGAAGGCAGCAG